GAUGAACGCUGGCGGCGUGCCUAAUACAUGCAAGUCGAGCGAACAGACGAGGAGCUUGCUCCUCUGACGUUAGCGGCGGACGGGUGAGUAACACGUGGAUAACCUACCUAUAAGACUGGGAUAACUUCGGGAAACCGGAGCUAAUACCGGAUAAUAUAUUGAACCGCAUGGUUCAAUAGUGAAAGACGGUUUUGCUGUCACUUAUAGAUGGAUCCGCGCCGCAUUAGCUAGUUGGUAAGGUAACGGCUUACCAAGGCAACGAUGCGUAGCCGACCUGAGAGGGUGAUCGGCCACACUGGAACUGAGACACGGUCCAGACUCCUACGGGAGGCAGCAGUAGGGAAUAUUCCGCAAUGGGCGAAAGCCUGACGGAGCAACGCCGCGUGAGUGAUGAAGGUCUUCGGAUCGUAAAACUCUGUUAUUAGGGAAGAACAAAUGUGUAAGUAACUAUGCACGUCUUGACGGUACCUAAUCAGAAAGCCCCGGCUAACUACGUG
Molecule: ribosomal RNA, 497 nt
Filed under: uncultured bacterium
Lineage: Bacteria
Description: partial 16S ribosomal RNA
Rfam family: Bacterial small subunit ribosomal RNA
Source: RNAcentral